GAUGAAGAACGCAGCGAAAUGCGAUAAGUAGUGUGAAUUGCAGAAUUCAGUGAAUCAUCGAAUCUUUGAACGCACAUUGCGCCUUCUAGUAUUCUGGGAGGCAUGCCUGUUUGAGCGUCAUUAAACCUCUCUCAAGUAUGAUUACUUGGAUGUGAAGGAAGAGUACCUUAAACUUAAGGAGUGUUCUCCUUUGAAAUUGAUUAGCAGAUGGUAAUGUUAUUAAAUCCCUGAUGUUGUAAGAAAUAACAGUGGUUUUGUAGACUAUUAUCUAGCUUUAAAUUAUAAUUUUUAUUAUGGUUGACCUCAAAUCAGGUAAGGAUACCCGCUGAACUUAAGCAUAUCAAUAAGCGGAGGA
This 355-nucleotide unclassified non-coding RNA is filed under the name soil metagenome. RNAcentral describes it as "partial contains 5.8S ribosomal RNA, internal transcribed spacer 2, and large subunit ribosomal RNA". The stretch from base 1 to 120 matches the Rfam family "5.8S ribosomal RNA", at positions 35 to 154 of the family's 154-position model. The record is from RNAcentral.